CACAUGACUCUCGGCAACGGAUAUCUCGGCUCUCGCAUCGAUGAAGAACGUAGCAAAAUGCGAUACCUGGUGUGAAUUGCAGAAUCCCGUGAACCAUCGAGUUUUUGAACGCAAGUUGCGCCCAAGGCCUUUUGGUUGAGGGCACGUCUGCCUGGGCGUCACGC
This 164-nucleotide ribosomal RNA is filed under the name Perotis rara. RNAcentral describes it as "5.8S ribosomal RNA". It matches the Rfam family "5.8S ribosomal RNA". From Rfam's summary of the family: 5.8S ribosomal RNA (5.8S rRNA) is a component of the large subunit of the eukaryotic ribosome. The record is from RNAcentral. Lineage: Eukaryota; Viridiplantae; Streptophyta; Magnoliopsida; Poales; Poaceae.